Long non-coding RNA from Bubalus bubalis (water buffalo), 1375 nucleotides. RefSeq lists it as uncharacterized. The transcript is spliced from 5 exons. The record is from RefSeq and is a predicted model, not a curated record. Lineage: Eukaryota; Metazoa; Chordata; Mammalia; Artiodactyla; Bovidae.
CGCCGCCGAAACACAAACAGAGGGGGAGGGAAGACCGCGAGCUGAGCAGGACUCAGAAACUUUGCUCGCCACUCAUUGAUCCCCGCACUUUAGUUCAGCCGGACUCCCCCUGGCUCCCGGUGCUGUCACCUACCGCCCCUCCCUCGCCCCAGCCCCAUUGGACCCGAGCUGAAGCGGCCCCGCCUGGCACUCCUACCGCCAGCGCGCUCCGACUUUUUCGGCCUACGACUGGCUUCUCCGGAUGCUAAUCACUCCAGCCUCCCGGAGGACGGGAAGGAAGGGAGCUGCUGUACAAUAAGAUCCAACAGCAUCCAAACCGAACCUUCCCUAUUCCUUCUCUGUCUACAGAGCGAGCCAACUGCGGUCCAGGUCUAACCCUAAACCUGUCUCCAUUCGCCCCUCCCCUACCUCCAGGAGCAGAGGGUCAACUACAAAUUUAUCAUCUGGAGAACUCACCAAGAUGCUGACAUAUUCCAAGUGGAUUUAGCUGAUGGAGAUGGUUAAACUGCAGUGACUGUGUGAACCUCACGGGCAGUCGUUGCUCAGAGUCAGCAACAAUCAGACAAGUGGCUUCCAGUGCAAAUACGAUGACUCCUCCUGCCGUAAUCACACAAAGCUUUUCCCACACAUUCUCUGUUACCUCUGCGGCCAGCUCAGAUCCAGCUCAGAAAUAGCAUCAUCACCAUGAAUAUCUAUCCAUUUCUCUCAAGCGAAAACAGCAUGGGAAAGAAUUCCUAGAGGGAACUUUGCCAAGCAUUGCCCUGAAGGAAUUGCUAAACUGUUCUCCAAUGGUUGAAUUGAAAAAACAUUUUAUUUUUGAUGUGUGAUGUGAGGGGUGUUUACAAUUUUCCUAGCUCCACUAAGAUUCUGCUUCUUCUCUCUAAGUUUCCAUUGUGUUCUUGAGUACCCUGGAUAAAUAUUUGAAGUGCAAAAAACUGCGGACAGAUUUUAUGUCUUACCACAGGUCUGGAAGACUAAGGUGACUCCUUAGAUAUGCUGCUACAAUGUAGUAAAGAAAUCAUGGGUUUCAGAUUCAGAAAGGCCUAUGUAAAAUCCCAGCUCUAUUACCUACAAUCUUCAUUAUCUGGAGCAAUCACAUCUCCUCUAUGAACCUCAUUUUCCUCAUGGAUAAAAUAGGAGUAAUAAUAACUAUUAAAAAAAAAUCAUUAGAAACCUGAUAUAAAAUGCCUAUUACAAAGCUUGGUAUCCUGAAUGUAUGCAGUAAGUACUAUUAUUAAUCAUGUAUACAUGACAUUAUUGGGCUUCCCAGGUGCCACAGUGGUAAAUAAACUGCCUGCCAAUGCAGGAGACACAGACAUGCAGGUUGGAUCCCUUUGUCAGGAAAGAUCCCCUGGAGGAGGAAAUGGCAACACAC